GUUGUAUGGUUAAGUGACUAAGCGUAUGCGGUGGAUGCCUUGGCAGUUAGAGGCGAUGAAGGACGUGUUAAUCUGCGAUAAGCAUUGGGAAGUUGAUAAAAGACGUUAUACCCAAUGAUUUCCGAAUGGGGAAACCCGGCACUCUUUGAGUGUCAUCUGCAACUGAAUACAUAGGUUGUAGAGGCAAACGCAGGGAACUGAAACAUCUAAGUACCUGUAGGAACAGAAAUCAAUUGAGAUUUCGUUAGUAGCGGCGAGCGAACGCGAAUUAGCCCUUAAGCUUUUUAUGAGUUAGUGGAACGGUCUGGAAAGUCCGGCGAUACAGGGUGAUAGCCCCGUACACGAAAACAAUUUUAAAGUGAAAUCGAGUAGGUCGGGACACGUGAUAUCUUGACUGAACAUGGGGGGACCAUCCUCCAAGGCUAAAUACUCCUAACUGACCGAUAGUGAACCAGUACCGUGAGGGAAAGGCGAAAAGAACCCCUGUGAGGGGAGUGAAAUAGAACCUGAAACCGCAUACGUACAAGCAGUGGGAGCCCCUUCGGGGGUGACUGCGUACCUUUUGUAUAAUGGGUCAGCGACUUACAUUCUGUAGCAAGGUUAACCGUAUAGGGGAGCCGUAGGGAAACCGAGUCUUAACUGGGCGUCGAGUUGCAGGGUGUAGACCCGAAACCGAGUGAUCUACCCAUGGCCAGGUUGAAGGUUGAGUAACAUCAACUGGAGGACCGAACCCACUAAUGUUGAAAAAUUAGGGGAUGAGCUGUGGGUAGGGGUGAAAGGCCAAUCAAACUCGGAGAUAGCUGGUUCUCCCCGAAAGCUAUUUAGGUAGCGCCUCGGACUUAUGCCACUGGGGGUAGAGCACUGUUUCGGCUAGGGGGUCAUCCCGACUUACCAACCCGAUGCAAACUCCGAAUACCAGUGAGUACUAUCCGGGAGACACACGGCGGGUGCUAACGUCCGUCGUGGAGAGGGAAACAACCCAGACCGCCAGCUAAGGUCCCAAAGUUAUCACUAAGUGGGAAACGAUGUGGGAAGGCUCAGACAGCUAGGAGGUUGGCUUAGAAGCAGCCACCCUUUAAAGAAAGCGUAAUAGCUCACUAGUCGAGUCGGCCUGCGCGGAAGAUGUAACGGGGCUAAGUGAUACACCGAAGCUGCGGCAAUGCGAUUUAUCGUAUUGGGUAGGGGAGCGUUCUGUAAGCGGUUGAAGGUGUGCUGUAAGGCAUGCUGGACGUAUCAGAAGUGCGAAUGCUGACAUGAGUAACGACAAAGCGGGUGAAAAACCCGCUCGCCGGAAGACCAAGGUUUCCUGUCCAAUGCUAAUCAGGGCAGGGUAAGUCGACCCCUAAGGUGAGGCCGAGAGGCGUAAUCGAUGGGAAACAGGUUAAUAUUCCUGUACCGACAUGUACUGCGAUGGGGGGACGGAGAAGGCUAAAUGGGCCAGGCGUUGGUUGUCCUGGUUUAAGUGUGUAGGUUGAUGGUUUAGGUAAAUCCGGACCGUCUUAAGACUGAGACACGAUAUCGAGAUUCUACGGAAUUGAAGUCAUUGAUGCCAUGCUUCCAGGAAAAGCCUCUAAGCUUCAGGUACAUGUUGAUCGUACCCCAAACCGACACAGGUGGUCAGGUAGAGAAUACUAAGGCGCUUGAGAGAACUCGGGUGAAGGAACUAGGCAAAAUAGUACCGUAACUUCGGGAGAAGGUACGCUGCUGACGGUGAUGGGACUUGCUCCCUAAGCUGUUGGCAGUCGCAGUGACCAGGUGGCUGGGACUGUUUAUUAAAAACACAGCACUCUGCAAACUCGAAAGAGGACGUAUAGGGUGUGACACCUGCCCGGUGCCGGAAGGUUAAUUGAUGGGGUUAUCUUCGGAGAAGCUCUUGAUCGAAGCCCCGGUAAACGGCGGCCGUAACUAUAACGGUCCUAAGGUAGCGAAAUUCCUUGUCGGGUAAGUUCCGACCUGCACGAAUGGUGUAACCAUGGCCACGCUGUCUCCACCCGAGACUCAGUGAAAUUGAAAUCGCAGUGAAGAUGCUGUGUACCCGCGGCUAGACGGAAAGACCCCGUGAACCUUUACUACAGCUUGGCAGUGAACAUUGAACCUACAUGUGUAGGAUAGGUGGGAGGCUUUGAAGCGGUGACGCCAGUCAUCGUGGAGCCAACCUUGAAAUACCACCCUUGUAUGUUUGAUGUUCUAACCUAGGUCCCUUAUCGGGAUCGGGGACAUUGCCUGGUGGGUAGUUUGACUGGGGCGGUCUCCUCCCAAAGAGUAACGGAGGAGUACGAAGGUUAGCUAAUCACGGUCGGACAUCGUGAGGUUAGUACAAUGGUAUAAGCUAGCUUGACUGCGAGACAGACACGUCGAGCAGGUACGAAAGUAGGUCAUAGUGAUCCGGUGGCUCUGUAUGGAAGGGCCAUCGCUCAACGGAUAAAAGGUACUCCGGGGAUAACAGGCUGAUACCGCCCAAGAGUUCAUAUCGACGGCGGUGUUUGGCACCUCGAUGUCGGCUCAUCACAUCCUGGGGCUGAAGUCGGUCCCAAGGGUAUGGCUGUUCGCCAUUUAAAGUGGUACGCGAGCUGGGUUUAGAACGUCGUGAGACAGUUCGGUCCCUAUCUGCCGUGGGCGUUUGAGAAUUGAAAGGGGCUGCUCCUAGUACGAGAGGACCGGAGUGGACGAACCUCUGGUGUUCGGGUUGUCAUGCCAAUGGCAUUGCCCGGUAGCUAAGUUCGGAACUGAUAACCGCUGAAAGCAUCUAAGCGGGAAGCAGGCCUUGAGAUGAGUUCUCACUGGGACUUUAAGUCCCCUAAAGGGUUGUUGAAGACUACGACGUUGAUAGGCAGGGUGUGGAAGCGUUGUGAGGCGUUGAGCUAACCUGUACUAAUUGCCCGUGAGGCUUAACCAUACAACCCCUAAGAAGUU
This 2913-nucleotide ribosomal RNA is filed under the name Corallincola holothuriorum. RNAcentral describes it as "bacterial LSU rRNA". It matches the Rfam family "Bacterial large subunit ribosomal RNA". The record is from RNAcentral. Lineage: Bacteria; Pseudomonadati; Pseudomonadota; Gammaproteobacteria; Alteromonadales; Psychromonadaceae.